GUACGCUGGCGGCACGCCUAACACAUGCAAGUCGAACGAAGUAGCAAUACUUAGUGGCAGACGGGUGAGUAACAUGUAGGUAUCUGCCCUUUGGCCUGGAAUAACACGAGGAAACUUGUGCUAAUACCGGAUAAGUCUUUACGGAGAAAGCUUUAUGCACCAUUGGAUGAGCCUGCACUUGAUUAGUUUGUUGGUGGGGUAAUGGCCUACCAAGACUGUGAUCAAUAGCUGAUUUGAGAGGAUGAUCAGCCACAUUGGGACUGAGACACGGCCCAAACUCCUACGGGAGGCAGCAGUGGGGAAUCUUGCACAAUGGAGGAAACUCUGAUGCAGCGAUGCCGCGUGAGUGAAGAAGGCCUUUGGGUUGUAAAGCUCUUUCGUCGGGGAAGAAAAUGACUGUACCCGAAUAAGAAGGUCCGGC
RNAcentral lists this ribosomal RNA (421 nucleotides) under uncultured bacterium. RNAcentral describes it as "bacterial SSU rRNA". It matches the Rfam family "Bacterial small subunit ribosomal RNA", at positions 31 to 497 of the family's 1533-position model. The record is from RNAcentral.